Molecule: ribosomal RNA, 506 nt
Filed under: uncultured bacterium
Lineage: Bacteria
Description: bacterial SSU rRNA
Rfam family: Bacterial small subunit ribosomal RNA
Source: RNAcentral
AUUGAACGCUGGCGGAAUGCUUUACACAUGCAAGUCGAACGGCAGCACGGGGCAACCUGGUGGCGAGUGGCGAACGGGUGAGUAAUACAUCGGAACGUGCCCAGUCGUGGGGGAUAACGUAGCGAAAGUUACGCUAAUACCGCAUACGAUCUAUGGAUGAAAGCGGGGGAUCGCAAGACCUCGCGCGAUUGGAGCGGCCGAUGUCAGAUUAGGUAGUUGGUGGGGUAAAGGCCUACCAAGCCGACGAUCUGUAGCUGGUCUGAGAGGACGACCAGCCACACUGGGACUGAGACACGGCCCAGACUCCUACGGGAGGCAGCAGUGGGGAAUUUGGACAAUGGGCGCAAGCCUGAUCCAGCCAUUCCGCGUGCAGGAUGAAGGCCUUCGGGUUGUAAACUGCUUUUGUUACGGUAACGAAAAGGACUCUGGUUAAUACCCGGGGCGUCAUGACGGUACCGUAAGAAUAAGCACCGGCUAACUACGUGCCAGCAGCCGCGGUAAUAGUA